Papaver somniferum (opium poppy) is the source of this 605-nucleotide long non-coding RNA. RefSeq lists it as uncharacterized. The record is from RefSeq and is a predicted model, not a curated record. The transcript has 3 exons. Lineage: Eukaryota; Viridiplantae; Streptophyta; Magnoliopsida; Ranunculales; Papaveraceae.
AGUCGGAUUACCCAAAUUACACUCCACUGCUUUCUAAAAUCAUGGAGUGUUUGCUCUCUGAAAGUAAGGAAGAUAAGAUCGUCUACAAUGAAGAGCUAAUAGAUGCAGCAAAUGAGGUUGUUGAUAGUGUUGACAAAGAUGAAUUAUUGAAGUUCUUUUCGGUCAACCAUGAUCCUGAAGAUGACAAGGCAGAGGCAAUGAAAAAGAAGAUGGAAGCAACACGAGACCAGUUGGUAGAAGCAUUAUACCAAAAAGGAUUAUGACUUUAUGAUUAGGAGACAUAGUACCGUUGGGAAUAAGGCAUUUGUGGAUGAAUACACAUCGUCGAUGGCUGGAAUCACUGAUGACACCAAAAGAAAAUGGGAGGAGUUCCCCAAGCAGGCAGAGAACAAUUCUAAGGGUGGGUCCUUUAGUAAUUUUAUUUAUAUAUUACUAUCAUGGGCUGGCUGUUUUUUCUUUUCCUUGCUUUGGUUAAUAACACAAUCUUUUGUUUUUACGGACUGUUCCCCUUCAAGCAUUGUGGAAGCUGCUUGAGAGCAACAGAAGCAGAUGCAUGAUACUGGUAACAGGAUGGGCGGUAAACAUGUUUCAGCAGUUGAGUUAUA